AAGAACGGUAGACAAAGUUGAACAAUUUGAAUUUAAUUGUCAAACUACAAUGAUCAAGACAUUUCAUGAUGCCUACCACAUGUUGAUCACACCACAUACUGUGCAAUGUUCAUGUCCCUUUUUUCCCAUCAUAACUUGUUUUAUGUGUCUGGAGAAUUCUUGUAAUAUUGUAUUUUUUUGCACAUACUCCUCAGUGCUCCAGCACUCUUUUAAAUAAAUCUGUAUGGUUUAGUUUGUUAGUGUGUACAUGAAUUCUUACUAUUUUUCUUUCUUUCGUUUACUGUCCAGAUGCUAAAGGAAUUUCUUUGCUCUGCUGAGGCUGAAGUGAGAUCCCUGGCCUCGCUUUAUUCUGGGGUGGUAUGUCGUGACUUUGGCUUAACGCAUAAAUUUUAUUCUUACAUACCAU
Molecule: long non-coding RNA, 406 nt
Filed under: Coffea arabica (coffee)
Lineage: Eukaryota; Viridiplantae; Streptophyta; Magnoliopsida; Gentianales; Rubiaceae
Description: long non-coding RNA (CARA_LNC006033)
Source: RNAcentral